RNAcentral lists this ribosomal RNA (497 nucleotides) under uncultured bacterium. Its description in RNAcentral is "partial 16S ribosomal RNA". It matches the Rfam family "Bacterial small subunit ribosomal RNA", at positions 28 to 507 of the family's 1533-position model. The record is from RNAcentral.
GAUGAACGCUGGCGGCGUGCCUAAUACAUGCAAGUCGAGCGAACAGACGCGGAGCUUGCUCCUCUGACGUUAGCGGCGGAAGGGUGAGUAACACGUGUAUAACCUACCUAUAAGACUGGGAUAACUUCGGGAAACCGGAGCUAAUACCGGAUAAUAUAUUGAACCGCAUGGUUCAAUAGUGAAAGACGGUUUUGCUGUCACUUAUAGAUGGAUCCGCGCCGCAUUAGCUAGUUGGUAAGGUAACGGCUUACCAAGGCAACUAUGCGUAGCCGACCUGAGAGGGUGAUCGGCCACACUGGAACUGAGACACGGUCCAGACGCCUACGGGAGGCAGCAGUAGGGAAUCUUCCGCAAUGGGCGAAAGCCUGACGGAGCAACGCCGCGUGAGUGAUGAAGGUCUUCGGAUCGUAAAACUCUGUUAUUAGGGAAGAACAAAUGUGUAAGUAACUAUGCACGUCUUGACGGUACCGAAUCAGAAAGCCACGGCUAACUACGUG